This 250-nucleotide ribosomal RNA is filed under the name Sesamia nonagrioides (Mediterranean corn borer). RNAcentral describes it as "partial 16S ribosomal RNA". The record is from RNAcentral. Lineage: Eukaryota; Metazoa; Arthropoda; Insecta; Lepidoptera; Noctuidae.
AAUAAAUUAGAAAGACGAGAAGACCCUAUAGAGUUUUAUAAGUAAAAUUAAUUGAGAUUAUUUGUAAAGGUUAAAAUUAAAAUUAAGAUUAAUUUAUUUAUUUUGUUGGGGUGACAGAAAAAUAUGAAAAACUUUUUAUAUGUUUAAAACAUUAAUAAGUGGUUAAAUGAUCCAAUAUUAUUGAUUAUAAGAAAAAAUUACCUUAGGGAUAACAGCGUAAUUUUUUUUUUUAGUUCACAUAAAAAAAAAA